CCCUACUGCNAUCGGGGUGGGANUANGNCNUGNGAGUNGAACGUUUCACAGCCNUGAGUGAAACGUGGCAUACGGCUCAGUAACACGUGGCUAACCUACCCUCGAGACGGAGACAACCCCGGGAAACUGGGGCUAAUCCCCGAUAGGUGAAGACUCCUGGAAUGGNUCUUCGCCCAAAAAGUGNNGNAAUCAUGCUUUCCAACAUUGCUCAAGGANGGAGCCGCGGCCGAUCAGGCUGUUGGUGAGGUAAUGGCUCACCAAACCUAUAACCGGUACGGGCCGUGGGAGCGGGAGCCCGGAGAUGGGCACUGAGACAAGGGCCCAGGCCCUACGGGGCGCAGCAGUCGCGAAAACUCCGCAAUGCACGAAAGUGUGACGGGGCUACCCCGAGUGCCGUCCGCUGAGGAUGGCUUUUCUCUGCUGUAAGGAGGCGGAGGAAUAAGGAGAGGGCAAGUCUGGUGUCAGCCGCCGCGGUAAUACCAGCUCUCCGAGUGGUAGGGAUGAUUAUUGGGCUUAAAGCGUCCGUAGCCGGCCUUUCAAGUCUCUCGUUAAAUCCAGCGAUUCAAUCGUUGGACUGCGGGAGAUACUGUUAGGCUAGGGGACGGGAGAAGCCGACGGUAUUUCCGGAGUAGGGGUAAAAUCCUAUAAUCCCGGGAAGACCACCAGUGGCGUAGGCGGUCGGCUAGCACGCGCUCGACGGUGAGGGACGAAAGCUGGGGGAGCGAACCGGAUUAGAUACCCGGGUAGUCCCAGCUGUAAACGAUGCGGACUAGGUGUUGGAGCGGCUACGAGCCGCUUCAGUGCCGCAGGGAAGCCAUUAAGUCCGCCGCCUGGGGAGUACGGCCGCAAGGCUGAAACUUAAAGGAAUUGGCGGG
Molecule: ribosomal RNA, 875 nt
Filed under: uncultured archaeon
Lineage: Archaea
Description: bacterial SSU rRNA
Rfam family: Archaeal small subunit ribosomal RNA
Source: RNAcentral